UCAGAGGAGCGUGCAGACUUGAUAAGGGAAACAGAUGGGCCAACAGAUAAUUCCCAGCGGAGGUGUGUUCAAACAUGAGGUAAUUACAGCUAACGCUUACUAGGCAUUUUCCACAAACUAGACGCGGUUCUAAGUGCUUUUCACAUAUUAAUCACUUGUGUCUCUCAACAGCCCUGGGGGCUUGGUACUAAGCAAAUGGAGGAACAGAGAUGUAAGUAACUUACCCAAGGUCACACAGCCAGCAGAUCUGCACCAAAGCAGUGUGUCCAGGUUUUAUCAUCAUGAUAUCCAGUUCUACUUUGGAAAUGAGAGGCACCGUCUGUGAGUUCCUGGUCAGGACGAGGAAGACAACACCACUAUCUCUGGCACGUUUAGCAAACUCUGUCUCCAGGGAUGGGGCUGGAAUGCAGUGGGCAGUUACAGGUCACUACAGCCUCCAACUCUUGAACCCAAGCAAUCCUCCCACUUCAGCCUCCCAAGUAUCUGGGACCAUGAGCGUGUGGCACGACGUAGUUCCCUUCUUUUUACACAGUGUGGUAUGCAGGAAGCAGUGA
This 554-nucleotide long non-coding RNA is filed under the name Callithrix jacchus (white-tufted-ear marmoset). Its description in RNAcentral is "lncRNA (ENSCJAG00000070536.1)". The record is from RNAcentral. Lineage: Eukaryota; Metazoa; Chordata; Mammalia; Primates; Cebidae.